CAAGUCGAACGAGAAAGUGGAGCAAUCCAUGAGUACAGUGGCGUACGGGUGAGUAACACGUGGGUGAUCUACCUUUUAGUGAGGAAUAACCGAGGGAAACUUUGGCUAAUACCGCAUAAGCCUGAGAAGGGAAAGCAGAAAUGCGCUGAAAGAGGAGCCCGCGGCCGAUUAGCUAGUUGGUGGGGUAAGAGCCCACCAAGGCAGAGAUCGGUAGCCGGCCUGAGAGGGCACACGGCCACACUGGCACUGAAACACGGGCCAGACUCCUACGGGAGGCAGCAGUGGGGAAUCUUGCACAAUGGGGGAAACCCUGAUGCAGCGACGCCGCGUGAGCGAUGAAGCCCUUCGGGGUGUAAAGCUCUUUCGUCAGGGAAGAUAGUGACGGUACCUGGAGAAGCAGCUGCGGCUAACUACGUGCCAGCAGCCGCGGUAAUACGUAGGCAGCAAGCGUUGUUCGGAGUUACUGGGCGUAAAGGGUGUGUAGGCGGUUCCUUAAGUUUGCUGUGAAAUCUCCCGGCUUAACCGGGAGGGUGCGGUGAAUACUGAGGGACUAGAGUACGGGAGAGGAAAGUGGAAUUCCUGGUGUAGCGGUGAAAUGCGUAGAUAUCAGGAGGAACACCGGUGGUGUAGACGGCUUUCUGGACCGUAACUGACGCUGAGACACGAAAGCGUGGGUAGCAAACAGGAUUAGAUACCCUGGUAGUCCACGCCCUAAACGAUGCAUAUUUGGUGUGGGCAGUUCAUUCUGUCCGUGCCGGAGCUAACGCGUUAAAUAUGCCGCCUGGGGAGUACAGUCGCAAGGCUGAAACUCAAAGGAAUUGACGGGGGCCCGCACAAGCGGUGGAGCAUGUGGUUCAAUUCGACGCAAGGCGAAGAACCUUACCUGGGCUCGAACGGCUUCUCAACGGCGGUGGAAACACUGCUACCCCC
RNAcentral lists this ribosomal RNA (930 nucleotides) under uncultured Bacillota bacterium. Its description in RNAcentral is "bacterial SSU rRNA". It matches the Rfam family "Bacterial small subunit ribosomal RNA", at positions 58 to 1019 of the family's 1533-position model. The record is from RNAcentral. Lineage: Bacteria; Bacillati; Bacillota.